UACGUAGGGUGCAAGCGUUGUCCGGAAUUAUUGGGCGUAAAGAGCUCGUAGGCGGUCUGUCGCGUCUGCUGUGAAAACUCGGGGCUUAACCCCGGGCCUGCAGUGGAUACGGGCGGACUCGAGUUCGGCAGGGGAGACUGGAAUUCCUGGUGUAGCGGUGAAAUGCGCAGAUAUCAGGAGGAACACCGGUGGCGAAGGCGGGUCUCUGGGCCGAUACUGACGCUGAGGCACGAAAGCGUGGGGAGCAAACAGG
RNAcentral lists this ribosomal RNA (253 nucleotides) under uncultured bacterium. RNAcentral describes it as "partial 16S ribosomal RNA". It matches the Rfam family "Bacterial small subunit ribosomal RNA", at positions 524 to 776 of the family's 1533-position model. The record is from RNAcentral.